AAAUUUCAACAAAUUAGUAGUACUUUGUACGAAUUUCUACAAAAUUUAUACUAAUUUGUACAUAUUUAUUGGAAUUUCUAGCAAAUUACUACUAAUUACUACUAAUUCCUGCUAAUUUUAUUUUCUAACUAAUAUACAAAUAUCUAUUGAUUUUAUAACUAAUUCGUUCCUGGCGCCAGUGUUGGCGGACCUCGUGCGGUCGGAGGUGCCUAGGUUGGGACGGCGGCGGCUGGGGCGGCGGGAUGGCGGAGGCGGGGUUGUAGCGAGGUGGCCGCGGCAACGAUUAAUUUCUAACCUAGGCAGAGGUGAGGACGGACGUCUCUAGAAUUAGCCACCGUCUCCUAUGCGAAGGAUUGAACCACGACAAAACACGUGGAGCGACUAACUAAUUACUACUAAUUUCCACUAAUUUGAUUUUCUAACACAUAUACAAAUAUCUAUUGAUUUUCUAACUAAUUACUACUCAUUUCUAUUUAUUUUCUAACUAAAAAAAAGGCCCUUGCUGAUGCAAGCCGGUGGGCUUGC
Molecule: long non-coding RNA, 525 nt
Filed under: Setaria viridis
Lineage: Eukaryota; Viridiplantae; Streptophyta; Magnoliopsida; Poales; Poaceae
Description: long non-coding RNA (SVIR_LNC009700)
Source: RNAcentral